GAUGAACGCUGGCGGCGUGCUUAACACAUGCAAGUCGAACGGAAAGGCCCAAGCUUGCUUGGGUACUCGAGUGGCGAACGGGUGAGUAACACGUGGGUGAUCUGCCCUGCACUUCGGGAUAAGCCUGGGAAACUGGGUCUAAUACCGGAUAGGACCACUUCUUGGAUGUUGUGGUGGAAAGUUUUCUCGGUGUGGUGUGAGCUCGCGGCCUAUCAGCUUGUUGGUGGGGUAAUGGGCUACCAAGGCGUCGACGGGUCACUGGCCGGAGAGGGGGUACAGCCACACUGGAACUGAGACACGGUCGAGAGUCCUACGGGAGGGCGCAGUGGGGAAGAGUGGACAAUGGGGGGAAGCCUGAUCCAGCCAUGCCGCGUGUGUGAAGAAGGUCUUCGGGUUGGAAAGCACUUUAAGUGGGGAGGAAGGGCAGGAACUUAAUAACUUGCUGUUUUGACGUUACCUACAGAAUAAGCACCGGCUAACUUCGUG
This 486-nucleotide ribosomal RNA is filed under the name uncultured bacterium. RNAcentral's name for it is "partial 16S ribosomal RNA". It matches the Rfam family "Bacterial small subunit ribosomal RNA", at positions 28 to 507 of the family's 1533-position model. The record is from RNAcentral.